AGUUAACAAAGAACACUGAGGGGACACGCACAGAGGAGGGAUUUGUGCUCAGGAAGGUCACUCAGUGGAUUAGGUUUGAACCUCUUGGAGCCAGGGACUGUGUCUGAAAACACCUACGGUGCUAACUCAAGAUAUGUGACCUUAAGGAUCUUGAGAAGAAGAGAUCGUCCUGAAUUACCUGGUAGGCGCUAAAUCCAAUGACAUGUCCUUAAAAGAGAAACCCAGGAAGAUAGGGAUGCA
Choloepus didactylus (southern two-toed sloth) is the source of this 240-nucleotide long non-coding RNA. RefSeq lists it as uncharacterized. NCBI's taxonomy places the organism in Eukaryota, Metazoa, Chordata, Mammalia, Pilosa, Megalonychidae. The transcript is spliced from 3 exons. The record is from RefSeq and is a predicted model, not a curated record.